RNAcentral lists this transfer RNA (68 nucleotides) under Acrossocheilus paradoxus (Taiwan torrent carp). Its description in RNAcentral is "tRNA-Ser". Lineage: Eukaryota; Metazoa; Chordata; Actinopteri; Cypriniformes; Cyprinidae. RNAcentral also lists the same sequence under 1 other name. The record is from RNAcentral.
GAGGUCGAACGAAAAAUAGUGAGCACUGCUAAAUCUUACAUCCAAGGUUAGACUCCCUGGCUUCCUCA